UCAUAGUAUCAAGCUUGGCUUGGUGUUGGGCCCUGUGUCACCUGGUGACAGGUCCGAAAGACAAUGACUGGUGUAACAGACUCCAGAUGCAACGAGCUUAUAACAGCACGCAUUUGGCAGUUGUGUGACCCGGUUUUAACCCUUUCUUUCUCAA
Molecule: unclassified non-coding RNA, 154 nt
Filed under: uncultured Eurotiomycetes
Lineage: Eukaryota; Fungi; Ascomycota; Eurotiomycetes
Description: sequence contains ITS2
Source: RNAcentral